Molecule: ribosomal RNA, 300 nt
Filed under: Triticum aestivum (bread wheat)
Lineage: Eukaryota; Viridiplantae; Streptophyta; Magnoliopsida; Poales; Poaceae
Description: partial small subunit ribosomal RNA
Source: RNAcentral
AUGCCUACACAUCUACCCCACAGCCCACGCAGGCCGAGGCACUGCAGAUCGGUGUGCGAUGGGAUCACCGAACGAUCCUGGAUCUGUGAUAUGCAUGGUUCCCUGGGACUGUCCGCCACGAUCGAAUACUUUGGUCUAUGGUCGCGUAUUCAGCAGAUCGAGCUUUCUGACGUGCCCGACAAGAUCUCUUGGAACUUGACCCAGAACGAGCAAUACACGAAUGGCUCCACCAUCACGCUCAAUUGGCGGCCCAUAUGGAAGUGUUGGGCACCGAUGAACGUCAAGUUUUUCUCUUGUUAG